GAGACAAACAGACCCAGAGUACAAUUGGAUCAAAAAACUGGUUAUCUUACAAUUAAUGACAUCAGACCCAUAGAUUUUGGAAUUUAUAAACUAAAUAUCUCCAGGAAUGGAAGAAAUAUGAUUUCCAAGUCAUUUAUCAUCCGAGAUUCCACAGAAAAUGGAGAGAACGUCCCACAGGAGACAGUAACAUUGAUGAAUGGAGAGAUUAUGGCAGACACUUGUCUAUAGUGACUGUUACAUUUAAAUAAAACUUUUCUGCUUUUAUGAGCUUUUAAAACUGAAAAAAAUGUCUAAAAUGAAUACUGCAUGCCAUUUGCCUGUGAAAAGUAACAUGACAGAGGGUUUCUUUUUUUUUCUUUUUUUUCUGGUUAUUUUUUCAGUCUGGAGAUGGUUGUUUAGGGGUAUAAAGUGAAGUACAAGUUAAGGUGUGGAAACAAAUGUUUUCUGUGUGUGAGGACUUGUUAAACUUUGUUGAUGAGUCAGGAGUGAUAAGCUUAUUUAUUGUCCGCAGGGAAAACGAAAAAUAAUACCAGAACGGAGGUUGUGAUUGAGGCAUGUGCCCGUGUUCGGCCUGAUAGAAAGGAUUAUGUGGGCUUGGUAGAACCAUGUCAAGAUGAUGUAUUGCCAGGCCAGUUAUUGGUAGCCCGAUCAUUGGGCGCAGUUUCAAAUGGUAGUUAUGGUCAGAAUCUUAAACCUUUCUCCAGUUCCGGUGACGCUUUUUCAGUGUUGUCGGUUAGGUCAGAUUUCUGAUUUUGAGUUGUGUCCAUCAGGGUUGCAGGGAAAUGUAGAAUUAAGACCAUUGGAUAAUGAGACUGUGGAGGUGGGGGUGUGCCCGUGUUCAAAAAAGCAUGCAGGAUGCAAGACAAGAACACUUGCCAUGGCCUGUGGCCGUUUCUUUAGAUCCACUGCAGUUUAGCUCCAAACAACAAGAAAUGAUUUCUGAUUUGUUAUCGAUGCACCAGAAGGUUUUCUCAGAACAUGAUGAAUAUUAUGGACAUACUGAUAGGGUUUUACAUGUAAUACCAACAGUUGAUGCAGCCCCAAUUAGAGAUCAUUAUAAUAGGAUUCCACCAAAAUUGUAUCAAGUAGUAAGGGGACUUUUAAAUAAUAUGCUUUAAAAUGGUUUUGUUAAGGAGAGCUAUAGUGGGCAGCACCUGUGGUGCUUGUCAGAAAGAAGGACAGCACCCUUCGAUUCCGAGUAGACUACAGGUGGCUGAACAGUGUUUUAGUCAUAAAGAUUCAUAUCCUUUGCUUAGAAAUGAGGAGUCAUUGGCUUCAUUGAGAAAAUCUAGAGUGUUUUCAAUGUUAGAUCUAGCAAAUGGGUAUUGGCAGAAUGGGGGUGCUCCCAGCUGACAAAGAGAAGACCGCUUUUGUGAAGCGGAUGGGGCUUUAUGAAUUUAAUCAGAUGCCGAUGGGGUUAUGCAAUGCCCCAGGAACUUUUCAGCGACUGGUCGAAAGUUGCCUGAGGAAUCAAAAUUUUGAAACAUUAUUGUUGUAUUUGGAUGAUAUCAUUGUUUUUUCCCCCACCCUUGAGGCCUGUAUUGCCCAUCUAGAUUUGGUCUUCAGCCAUCUAGUGGACUUUGGUCUAAAGGUCAAACUCAGUAAGUGUUCCCUUUUCCAGAGUUAAGUUUAUUAUUUGAGCCAUGUGAUUGCAGAAGGAGGGGUGUCACCAGACCCAGAGAAUUGCGGGUAGUGGAGGCCUGGGUAACCCCUCAAAAUAUUACUCAAUUGCAUACUUUUUUUGGCCUAGCAGGGUAUUAUAGACGUUUUAUUGAAGACUUUGCCCAGAUUGCAGCACCACUGAAUGCAAUGUUGUGGGGGACAUCAAAGCGACGUACUCGACCAGCCACAGGAAAAAUAGAUGGGUGGGCAUGGGGAAUGGCACAGUACAUUGCUUUUAAGAAACGGAAGGAGAGUCUCCUACAAGCACCCAUAUUGGCAUAUGCUGAUUUUGAAUUGCCAUUUUUGUUGUACACUGCCAGCCAGACAGGGUUGGGAGCAGUAUUGGCCCAGGUCCAAGAGGGGAAGGAGAGAGUAAUUUCCUAUGCAAGUAGAAGUCUCCGUCCAAUAGAAAGGAAUGAUAAAAAUUACAGCUCAUUCAAACUGGAACUUCUGGCUUUAGCUAUAGAAUCUUGUUUCACAGACUGAGUAUUUGAGGCGGUCUAUGCGGGCCACAAAGGGCCUGUUGCCUCUACGUUAUAGGAUGUGAGGUAUUUGGGAAUGUGUGGACACAUUUUGAGUAGGGGGGUGGAUGUAAGCCCUUCUCUUUAGGCAAGGGGAGGGGCAACAGGGGUUGCGCCCGUAGUAUCUGCCUUACGUCUCAUUAGGGGAAAGAGACAAACACCUGUGCUGCAUUUCUAAUGGAAUCAAUAAAGGUAUGAGGUCUGUUGUUGUUUGGGGGGAUUUUGUAUGCGAGUGCUGCUGAGCUUCUUGCCGAGGCUACCUUGCCGGGACGUGGGUUGGAUGUUUCUCUGCGACGCGUGCAAAGCGAUUGGGAGGGAUAGUUUGUAGCUUUUGGUUUCCCUAAAUAAAUUUUGGCCGCCAGCGGUUGUUUUCCCGAAUGCUGUACCCCAUGUCCGGAAGCGGGUAAGAGGGCCAGCAGCCCAUUAUCUGCCUUUAUGGUUUAUUAAAUUGUGUGUAGGCCUAUAUAUGAAGUGUCUUAUUCACUGGGGAGUCCUGGUUUAAUGUGAUUAACUAAUUGUUACCAGCCAUAGGGGUUUUGGCACAUAUUAAGUGGCCUUUCGGUGUGUAUUGAAGUGUGUGAUUUAACUGAUGCACAUAUGGAUUUUGAUACCGUUGGUGUUUGCUGUGUAAUGAAAUUGUGUAUAACUGGUGGCACAUGAAAUAAUUUUUAGGUGUUGAAACCCUCUGCUGAAUACCUUUCUGCUCGUUGAUUGCUUACUUAUUCUAGGUAACUUUUGAUUGGUCAAAUACACUAUUAAUUAUAUGUGGCACCCGUCUUAACCUGCUGCUUUGCCCUUUUGAGGUUUUAAUAUGAUUUGUAGUAUUGUAUAGGAAUAAAAGGCAUAUUUGUAUUUAU
This is a long non-coding RNA of Cyprinus carpio (common carp), 3040 nucleotides long. RefSeq lists it as uncharacterized. Lineage: Eukaryota; Metazoa; Chordata; Actinopteri; Cypriniformes; Cyprinidae. The transcript is spliced from 2 exons. The record is from RefSeq and is a predicted model, not a curated record.